GAUGAACGCUGGCGGCGUGCCUAAUACAUGCAAGUCGAGCGAACAGAUGAGGAGCUUGCUCCCCUGACGUUAGCGGCGGACGGGUGAGUAACACGUGGAUAACCUACCUAUAAGACUGGGAUAACUUCGGGAAACCGGAGCUAAUACCGGAUAAUAUAUUGAACCGCAUGGUUCAAUAGUGAAAGACGGUUUUGCUGUCACUUAUAGAUGAAUCCGCGCCGCAUUAGCUAGUUGGUAAGGUAACGGCUUACCAAGGCAACGAUGCGUAGCCGACCUGAGAGGGUGAUCGGCCACACUGGAACUGAGACACGGUCCAGACUCCUACGGGAGGCAGCAGUAGGGAAUCUUCCGCAAUGGGCGAAAGCCUGACGGAGCAACGCCGCGUGAGUGAUGAAGGUCUUCGGAUCGUAAAACUCUGUUAUUAGGGAAGAACAAAUGUGUAAGUAACUAUGCACGUCUUGACGGUACCUAAUCAGAAAGCCACGGCUAACUACGUG
RNAcentral lists this ribosomal RNA (497 nucleotides) under uncultured bacterium. Its description in RNAcentral is "partial 16S ribosomal RNA". It matches the Rfam family "Bacterial small subunit ribosomal RNA", at positions 28 to 507 of the family's 1533-position model. The record is from RNAcentral.